GGGGAAUUAGCUCAAAUGGUAGAGCGCUCGCUUAGCAUGCGAGAGGUAGUGGGAUCGAUUUCCCCAUUCUCCA
Molecule: transfer RNA, 73 nt
Filed under: Perca fluviatilis (European perch)
Lineage: Eukaryota; Metazoa; Chordata; Actinopteri; Perciformes; Percidae
Rfam family: tRNA
About the family: Transfer RNA (tRNA) molecules are approximately 80 nucleotides in length.
Source: Rfam by way of RNAcentral